GCAUAACGCGAAGAACCUUACCCGGGUUUGACAUGUAUCUGCACGUCCUGUGAAAGCGGGAUUCCUUCGAGGGUGAUACACAGGUGCUGCAUGGCUGUCGUCAGUUCGUGCCGUGAGGUGUUUGGUUAAGUCCAGCAACGAACGCAACCCCUGUGCCCAAUUGCCAGCGCGUAAUGGCGGGAACUUUGGGCAGACUGCCUGUUCACACAGGAGGAAGGUGGGGACGACGUCAAGUCAGUAUGGCCCUUACAUCCGGGGCUGCACACGUGCUACAAUGGCCGGUACAAAGGGACGCGAGACCGCGAGGUGGAGCAAAUCCCCAGAGCCGGCCCCAGUUCAGAUUGCGGUCUGCAACCCGACCGCAUGAAGUCGGAUUCGCUAGUAACGGCGCAUCAGCUACGGCGCCGUGAAUACGUUCCCGGGUCUUGUACACACCG
Molecule: ribosomal RNA, 437 nt
Filed under: uncultured bacterium
Lineage: Bacteria
Description: bacterial SSU rRNA
Rfam family: Bacterial small subunit ribosomal RNA
Source: RNAcentral